RNAcentral lists this long non-coding RNA (407 nucleotides) under Rosa chinensis. Its description in RNAcentral is "sRNA RchiOBHm_Chr1g0337151". Lineage: Eukaryota; Viridiplantae; Streptophyta; Magnoliopsida; Rosales; Rosaceae. The record is from RNAcentral.
UACUAGUCCAAAACUGAGAUCAGCUCAGUGAGAGAGAGAUGAGAAGCCAUGAAGGUUCUAUACUCCACCACUUCUCCAAAGCAGCGUCCCAAAACCUCAACAAAAUCGCAGUCAUAUACGCCUCCGGUGACCGCCGUCGUACCCGCACCUCCGUCACCGUCCAACCCCUCUACGACGGCGACCGCUCCUUCACGUACGCAGAGUUAAUCUCCGCCGUCGAUUCUCUCGCUUCGCAGCUCCGUCGCAAUAACCUUAAUUCAGCUUCGUCAGAGCUCAGGCCGAGAAUUCUCGGCAUAUACAUGCCGCCGUCGGUGGAAAACAUAGUCUCCGUGCUCUCGCGGCGAGGCGUUUCUGCCUCUGGACCCGUCCUGGCCAAAACAGAGGCUGCUCUCCGUCGUUGCUUCGGC